GUAGAUGCAGCUCAGUGGUAGAGCACAUGCCUGCCAUGCACGAGGUCCUGGGCUCCAUCCCCGGUACCUCCA
This 72-nucleotide transfer RNA is filed under the name Camelus bactrianus (Bactrian camel). It matches the Rfam family "tRNA". Rfam says of the family: Transfer RNA (tRNA) molecules are approximately 80 nucleotides in length. Their secondary structure includes four short double-helical elements and three loops (D, anti-codon, and T loops). RNAcentral also lists the same sequence under 1 other name. The record is from Rfam by way of RNAcentral. Lineage: Eukaryota; Metazoa; Chordata; Mammalia; Artiodactyla; Camelidae.